This 301-nucleotide ribosomal RNA is filed under the name uncultured bacterium. RNAcentral describes it as "partial 16S ribosomal RNA". It matches the Rfam family "Bacterial small subunit ribosomal RNA", at positions 509 to 807 of the family's 1533-position model. The record is from RNAcentral.
CAGCCGCCACGGGAAUACGAAGGGGGCUAGCGUUGCUCGGAAUCACUGGGCGUAAAGGGUGCGUAGGCGGGUCUUUAAGUCAGGGGUGAAAUCCUGGAGCUCAACUCCAGAACUGCCUUUGAUACUGAAGAUCUUGAGUUCGGGGGAGGUGAGUGGAACUGCGAGUGUAGAGGUGAAAUUCGUAGAUAUUCGCAAGAACACCAGUGGCGAAGGCGGCUCACUGGCCCGAUACUGACGCUGAGGCACGAAAGCGUGGGGAGCAAACAGGAUUAGAUACCCCCGUAGUCCCUGUCUCUUAUAC